UAGAAGAAGAGGCGAGCGAGUUGAAGAAGCAAGGAGGAAGUGCCGGAAGCAAGGACAACCGGAGAGGGAACGCCGGAGAGAGAGAGAUGGUCGAGCGGGCGAGCGGAGAGGGAGAGGGGCCGAGCGGACAGGGAGAGGGUCGAGCGGACAGGGAGAGGGAAGAGCGGACAGGGAGAGGGGAAUAGAGAGAUAAUUGAUGAUUAUUUAGGGUUUAGUUUAGGGUAUUGGGUUUAUUUUAGAUAUUUUAA
This 248-nucleotide long non-coding RNA is filed under the name Ananas comosus (pineapple). Its description in RNAcentral is "long non-coding RNA (ACOM_LNC038178)". The record is from RNAcentral. Lineage: Eukaryota; Viridiplantae; Streptophyta; Magnoliopsida; Poales; Bromeliaceae.